This 215-nucleotide long non-coding RNA is filed under the name Elaeis guineensis (African oil palm). RNAcentral's name for it is "long non-coding RNA (EGUI_LNC056062)". The record is from RNAcentral. Lineage: Eukaryota; Viridiplantae; Streptophyta; Magnoliopsida; Arecales; Arecaceae.
UAUGGCACACAACGACCUACACUUGAUAUGUCUAUCGUUCUAGUAAUAGUAUAUCAUUUAGUCGCGAACUCAUUUAAGGACUAAACGAUAAAUCUUUCUUUAUUGAUUUAAAUAGUCCUAAGGACUUUCAUCAUAACAUAGAAGUUUGAUGUAGAAGAUGUACAAGCUUAUGAUAAAAAUUAUCAAAUAAAUAUUUUAUUAAUUAAUUCAUAUAU